GGAGUUGGCCAGGCAAUCGCGCCGGAUAAUAUUCGUAUUAUCCGGGGAGGAAAGUCCGGGCUCCGCAGGACAGAGUGCCAGGUAACGCCUGGGGGGUGAAAGCCUACGGAAAGUGCAGCAGAAAAUAAACCGCCCGGUGUCGACUAGUUCGGUGUCAGGUAAGGGUGAAAUGGUGCGGUAAGAGCGCACCGCGCAACGGGUAACCGCUUGUGGCAUGGUAAACCCCACUCGGAGCAAGACCAAAUAGGGGAACAUAAUGCGUGGUCCGCGCUGUUCCCGGGUAGGUUGCUUGAGGUGCAUGGUGACAUGUCAUCCAGAUGAAUGAUUGUCCACGACAGAACCCGGCUUAUCGGCCAACUCCCUUU
RNAcentral lists this RNase P RNA (365 nucleotides) under Gammaproteobacteria bacterium. RNAcentral describes it as "RNase P RNA component class A". It matches the Rfam family "Bacterial RNase P class A". From Rfam's summary of the family: Ribonuclease P (RNase P) is a ubiquitous endoribonuclease, found in archaea, bacteria and eukarya as well as chloroplasts and mitochondria. The record is from RNAcentral. Lineage: Bacteria; Pseudomonadati; Pseudomonadota; Gammaproteobacteria.